RNAcentral lists this ribosomal RNA (435 nucleotides) under uncultured bacterium. RNAcentral's name for it is "bacterial SSU rRNA". It matches the Rfam family "Bacterial small subunit ribosomal RNA", at positions 355 to 804 of the family's 1533-position model. The record is from RNAcentral.
UGGGGAAUCUUGCACAAUGGGCGAAAGCCUGAUGCAGCAACGCCGCGUGCGGGAAGAAGGCCCUCGGGUUGUAAACCGCUUUCAGAAGGAACGAAACUGACGGUACUUUCAGAAGAAGGUGCGGCCAACUACGUGCCAGCAGCCGCGGUGACACGUAGGCACCAAGCGUUGUCCGGAUUUAUUGGGCGUAAAGAGCUCGUAGGCGGUUCAGUAAGUCGGGUGUGAAAACUUUGGGCUUAACCCAAAGCGUGCAUCCGAUACUGCUGUGACUUGAGUACGGUAGGGGAGCGGGGAAUUCCUAGUGUAGCGGUGAAAUGCACAGAUAUUAGGAGGAACACCGGUGGCGAAGGCGCCGCUCUGGGCCGAAACUGACGCUGAGGAGCGAAAGCGUGGGGAGCAAACAGGAUUAGAUACCCAGGUAGUCCCUGAGCGGGC